RNAcentral lists this ribosomal RNA (514 nucleotides) under Liturgusa maya. RNAcentral describes it as "partial 16S ribosomal RNA". It matches the Rfam family "Bacterial large subunit ribosomal RNA", at positions 1829 to 2600 of the family's 2925-position model. Lineage: Eukaryota; Metazoa; Arthropoda; Insecta; Mantodea; Liturgusidae. The record is from RNAcentral.
GGUUUCUUGAUUUGGAUAUAAGAAAUUUGACCUGCCCACUGAAUAAUUUUGAAGGGCCGCAGUAUUUUGACUGUGCAAAGGUAGCAUAAUCAUUAGUCUUUUAAUUGAGGGCUAGAAUGAAUGGUUGGACGAGGUAAAUUCUGUUUCAUUUAAAUUAAUUGAAUUUAAAUUUUAAGUAAAAAUGCUUAAUUGAUUUUAAGGGACGAGAAGACCCUAUAGAGUUUAAUAAAUGAUAUUUUUAUUAGGUUUAUUUUAAUAUUUAUAAUUUCUAUUAAGUUUAUUUAAUUGGGGUGAUUGAAAUAAUAUAAAAAACUUUUUUUUUAUUUAAAUUAUUUAAAAAAAUAUUUGAUCCAUUAUUAUUGAUUAAAAGAUUAAAUUACCUUAGGGAUAACAGCAUAAUUAUUUUUGAGAGUUCUUAUCGAGAAAGUAGAUUGUGACCUCGAUGUUGGAUUAAGAUAAAAGUUGGGUGCAGAUGUUCAAAUUUUUAGGUCUGUUCGACCUUAAAAAUCUUACA